ACUCCUACGGGAGGCAGCAGUGGGGAAUAUUGCACAAUGGGCGCAAGCCUGAUGCAGCCAUGCCGCGUGUAUGAAGAAGGCCUUCGGGUUGUAAAGUACUUUCAGCGGGGAGGAAGGCGAUAAGGUUAAUAACCUUGUUGAUUGACGUUACCCGCAGAAGAAGCACCGGCUAACUCCGUGCCAGCAGCCGCGGUAAUACGGAGGGUGCAAGCGUUAAUCGGAAUUACUGGGCGUAAAGCGCACGCAGGCGGUCUGUCAAGUCGGAUGUGAAAUCCCCGGGCUCAACCUGGGAACUGCAUUCGAAACUGGCAGGCUAGAGUCUUGUAGAGGGGGGUAGAAUUCCAGGUGUAGCGGUGAAAUGCGUAGAGAUCUGGAGGAAUACCGGUGGCGAAGGCGGCCCCCUGGACAAAGACUGACGCUCAGGUGCGAAAGCGUGGGGAGCAAACAGGAUUAGAAACCCCGGUAGUCCC
This 470-nucleotide ribosomal RNA is filed under the name uncultured organism. RNAcentral's name for it is "partial 16S ribosomal RNA". It matches the Rfam family "Bacterial small subunit ribosomal RNA", at positions 335 to 797 of the family's 1533-position model. The record is from RNAcentral.